CACAGAAAACGUCUUGUAAAGAAGAGUCCCGUCUCUGCACACGAGGACCUUAACUGCAGACCGCUGCUCUGAGCAGCAGCUGCACAGACGGGAGCAUCCUC
This is a non-coding RNA of Ceratotherium simum simum (southern white rhinoceros), 101 nucleotides long. The record is from RefSeq and is a predicted model, not a curated record. NCBI's taxonomy places the organism in Eukaryota, Metazoa, Chordata, Mammalia, Perissodactyla, Rhinocerotidae.